RNAcentral lists this non-coding RNA (52 nucleotides) under Trypanosoma lewisi. Lineage: Eukaryota; Euglenozoa; Kinetoplastea; Trypanosomatida; Trypanosomatidae. The record is from RNAcentral.
AUAUUAUACAACGGUAAAGAGCGCUAUGAACGAGAUAGAUUUAUUAUGAAUG